CAGCCGCCACGGUAAUACGUAGGUGGCAAGCGUUGUCCGGAAUUAUUGGGCGUAAAGCGCGCGCAGGCGGUUUCUUAAGUCUGAUGUGAAAGCCCCCGGCUUAACCGGGGAGGGUCAUUGGAAACUGGGAGACUUAGAGUGCAGAAGAGGAGAGUGGAAUUCCAUGUGUAGCGGUGAAAUGCGUAGAUAUAUGGAGGAACACCAGUGGCGAAGGCGACUCUCUGGUCUGUAACUGACGCUGAGGCGCGAAAGCGUGGGGAGCAAACAGGAUUAGAUACCCGGUAGUCCCUGUCUCUUAUAC
RNAcentral lists this ribosomal RNA (301 nucleotides) under uncultured bacterium. Its description in RNAcentral is "partial 16S ribosomal RNA". It matches the Rfam family "Bacterial small subunit ribosomal RNA", at positions 509 to 807 of the family's 1533-position model. The record is from RNAcentral.